RNAcentral lists this ribosomal RNA (274 nucleotides) under uncultured bacterium. RNAcentral's name for it is "partial 16S ribosomal RNA". It matches the Rfam family "Bacterial small subunit ribosomal RNA", at positions 523 to 796 of the family's 1533-position model. The record is from RNAcentral.
AUACGGAGGGUGCGAGCGUUAAUCGGAAUUACUGGGCGUAAAGGGUGCGUAGGCGGCUUGAUAAGUCGGAUGUGAAAGCCCCGGGCCUAACCUGGGAAUUGCAUUCGAUACUGUCAGGCUAGAGUAUGUCAGAGGUUGGCGGAAUUCCUGGUGUAGCUGUGAAAUGCGUAGAUAUCAGGAGGAACACCAGUGGCGAAGGCGGCUAACUGGGGCAAUACUGACGCUGAGGCACGAAAGCGUGGGGAGCAAACAGGAUUAGAAACCCUAGUAGUCC